CACCCAUUCCCGAGCCGCCGCCACCUCUGGUCUCCUCGUAUUCUGCAGCGAGCCAACCCCCUUCCUCCACCUCUUCCCCUCCGAUCCAGCCAACUCAUGCUCUAAACCGCCAGAUCUUUGAUCCAACGACCGAGGGCCAACCAUCUGUUCAGCCAGCUCCCGAAGAGAGGCGCCCCUCCUCUGCUCGCUCGUCCCCGAGCACCUCGCUCCACCAGCACCGCCUCGCUCGAGUACUAGACGCCGACGGCGACAACCACCACCGAACCAGCAGGCCCUGCGCCUCAUCCUUCUCCUUCCCCUCGUCCUCGUGUUCUUCCUCCCUCUCUCCUUUCUCUUUUCUCUCUCCCUCUCACAUCUCUCUCUUCUAGGUACCCAGGAGCUCCCCGUUACCAUGAACGCCUUCUUGAACCGGAGCUCGCCGCUGCCGGGAAUCGCCAUGCGUCCCCGGAGAUCGCGUCCUCGUCCCGGUUCCUAGACCCCGCCAUGGAUCCCCGCGGCCGAGCUCUCCCUGUCGCUGGUUGCCUCACCACCGUCCAAGAACUGCCUCCAGACGGCCUCGCCGUUCCCCAGCCUCGCCUGCAUCAGGAUCCGUCGGAUCCUGGCCUUCCCUUCAUUGGCAACCUUGUCCCUGCACUCAGCCUCGUCAACGACCGAGGUGGAGCGCCCUGUGUGCGUUGACCACGGUCACUCCGCGCGUGGGCCAGCUGGCCAUGCCAGGCCCAGCGCUGCCCCCUGCCGGCCUGCCUCCUAUCCAUCGAACGGGCCAAGGCCAAUGCCCUAGUUCGUUGCGAUUGUGAGGAUCCGUUCGACUAUGUUGGUUCGUCUACUUCAUG
Molecule: long non-coding RNA, 833 nt
Organism: Triticum dicoccoides
Lineage: Eukaryota; Viridiplantae; Streptophyta; Magnoliopsida; Poales; Poaceae
Exons: 3
Source: RefSeq, a predicted model, not a curated record